GACGAACGCUGGCGGCGUGCUUAACACAUGCAAGUCGAACGGAAAGGCCCUGCUUUUGUGGGGUGCUCGAGUGGCGAACGGGUGAGUAACACGUGAGUAACCUGCCCUUGACUUUGGGAUAACUUCAGGAAACUGGGGCUAAUACCGGAUAGGAGCUCCUGCUGCAUGGUGGGGGUUGGAAAGUUUCGGCGGUUGGGGAUGGACUCGCGGCUUAUCAGCUUGUUGGUGGGGUAGUGGCUUACCAAGGCUUUGACGGGUAGCCGGCCUGAGAGGGUGACCGGCCACAUUGGGACUGAGAUACGGCCCAGACUCCUACGGGAGGCAGCAGUGGGGAAUAUUGCACAAUGGGCGGAAGCCUGAUGCAGCAACGCCGCGUGCGGGAUGACGGCCUUCGGGUUGUAAACCGCUUUCGCCUGUGACGAAGCGUGAGUGACGGUAAUGGGUAAAGAAGCACCGGCUAACUACGUGCCAGCAGCCGCGGUGAUACGUAGGGUGCGAGCGUUGUCCGGAUUUAUUGGGCGUAAAGGGCUCGUAGGUGGUUGAUCGCGUCGGAAGUGUAAUCUUGGGGCUUAACCCUGAGCGUGCUUUCGAUACGGGUUGACUUGAGGAAGGUAGGGGAGAAUGGAAUUCCUGGUGGAGCGGUGGAAUGCGCAGAUAUCAGGAGGAACACCAGUGGCGAAGGCGGUUCUCUGGGCCUUUCCUGACGCUGAGGAGCGAAAGCGUGGGGAGCGAACAGGCUUAGAUACCCUGGUAGUCCACGCUGUAAACGGUGGGUACUAGGUGUGGGGUCCAUUCCACGGGUUCCGUGCCGUAGCUAACGCUUUAAGUACCCCGCCUGGGGAGUACGGCCGCAAGGCUAAAACUCAAAGGAAUUGACGGGGCCCCGCACAAGCGGCGGAGCAUGCGGAUUAAUUCGAUGCAACGCGUAGAACCUUACCUGGGUUUGACAUGGAUCGGGAGCGCUCAGAGAUGGGUGUGCCUCUUUUGGGGUCGGUUCACAGGUGGUGCAUGGCUGUCGUCAGCUCGUGUCGUGAGAUGUUGGGUUAAGUCCCGCAACGAGCGCAACCCUUGUUCACUGUUGCCAGCACGUUAUGGUGGGGACUCAGUGGAGACCGCCGGGGUCAACUCGGAGGAAGGUGGGGAUGACGUCAAGUCAUCAUGCCCCUUAUGUCCAGGGCUUCACGCAUGCUACAAUGGCUGGUACAGAGAGUGGCGAGCCUGUGAGGGUGAGCGAAUCUCGGAAAGCCGGUCUCAGUUCGGAUUGGGGUCUGCAACUCGACCUCAUGAAGUCGGAGUCGCUAGUAAUCGCAGAUCAGCAACGCUGCGGUGAAUACGAUCCCGGG
This 1343-nucleotide ribosomal RNA is filed under the name uncultured bacterium. RNAcentral describes it as "16S ribosomal RNA". It matches the Rfam family "Bacterial small subunit ribosomal RNA", at positions 28 to 1378 of the family's 1533-position model. The record is from RNAcentral.